This 498-nucleotide ribosomal RNA is filed under the name uncultured bacterium. Its description in RNAcentral is "partial 16S ribosomal RNA". It matches the Rfam family "Bacterial small subunit ribosomal RNA", at positions 28 to 507 of the family's 1533-position model. The record is from RNAcentral.
GACGAACGCUGGCGGCGUGCCUAAUACAUGCAAGUCGAACGGGAGCGACCGGUGCUUGCACUGGUCAAUCUAGUGGCGAACGGGUGAGUAACACGUGGGUAACCUGCUCAUCAGAGGGGGAUAACAUCCGGAAACGGAUGCUAAAACCGCAUAGGUCUUCGAGCCGCAUGGCUUGAAGAGGAAAAGAGGCGCAAGCUUCUGCUGAUGGAUGGACCCGCGGUGCAUUAGCUAGUUGGUGAGGUAACGGCUCACCAAGGCCGUGAUGCAUAGCCGACCUGAGAGGGUGAUCGGCCACAUUGGGACUGAGACACGGCCCAAACUCCUACGGGAGGCAGCAGUAGGGAAUCUUCCGCAAUGGACGCAAGUCUGACGGAGCAACGCCGCGUGAGUGGAGAAGGUGUUCGGAUCGUAAAACUCUGUUGUUAGAGAAGAACAAGUGCUAGAGUAACUGUUAGCGCCUUGACGGUAUCUAACCAGAAAGCCACGGCUAACUACGUG